Haliotis rufescens (red abalone) is the source of this 289-nucleotide long non-coding RNA. RefSeq lists it as uncharacterized. The record is from RefSeq and is a predicted model, not a curated record. The transcript is spliced from 3 exons. Lineage: Eukaryota; Metazoa; Mollusca; Gastropoda; Lepetellida; Haliotidae.
UCAGUAGCGACUCACAACCAACUGUGAACUGUGAACGUCACUACCAUCUACAGCUGACGAAACGCUCAAUCUAUGGGGCCGUGGAUCCGCCCGACAGUAAGCGACCACGAAAAGAUUAUGCCAACGCUAAUAGCUCUGUUCAUCGCAGCUGUUGUUUCAUGUGUCGAGUGUAGCAGCCUGACAGGCAAACAGUUCUACAUAUAUACGGGCAAAAAGACAUGGAACGAAGCAAGGACAAUAUGCGAGGACAGUGGAACACGCCUGGCUAAGAUAGACAACCAGCAGACUU